AGAGUUUGAUCAUGGCUCAGGAUGAACGCUGGCGGCGUGCUUAACACAUGCAAGUCGAACGAAGCGAGAGGAGCUUGCUCCUUAAGCUUAGUGGCGGACGGGUGAGUAACGUGUGGGCAACCUGCCUUUUACAGGGGAAUAAUCACUGGAAACGGUGACUAAUACCGCAUACGAUCUUCGGAAGGCAUCUUCUGGAGAGGAAAGGAGCAAUCCGGUAAAAGAUGGGGCCCGCAUCUGAUUAGCUAGUUGGUGAGAUAAUAGCCCACCAAGGCAACGAUCAGUAGCCGACCUGAGAGGGUGAUCGGCCACAUUGGGACUGAGACCACGGCCCAAACUCCUACGGGAGCA
Molecule: ribosomal RNA, 348 nt
Filed under: uncultured bacterium
Lineage: Bacteria
Description: bacterial SSU rRNA
Rfam family: Bacterial small subunit ribosomal RNA
Source: RNAcentral